Molecule: ribosomal RNA, 442 nt
Filed under: uncultured bacterium
Lineage: Bacteria
Description: bacterial SSU rRNA
Rfam family: Bacterial small subunit ribosomal RNA
Source: RNAcentral
CCUANGGGCGGCAGCAGUGAGGAAUAUUGCACAAUGGGCGAAAGCCUGAUGCAGCGACGCCGCGUGGGUGACGAAGGCCUUCGGGUCGUAAAACCCUUUUGGCAGGGACGAGUGAGGACGGUACCUGUCGAAUAAGUCUCGGCGAACUACGUGCCAGCAGCCGCGGUAAAACGUAGGAGGCGAGCGUUAUCCGGAUUCACUGGGCGUAAAGCGCACGUAGGCGGUCGGGUAAGUCGGAUGUUAAAGCCCCUGGCUCAACUAGGGGAGGUCAUUCGAUACUGCUCGGCUUGAGGAUGAGAGAGGAAAGUGGAAUUCCCGGUGUAGCGGUGGAAUGCGUAGAGAUCGGGAGGAACACCAGUGGCGAAAGCGGCUUUCUGGCUCAUUCCUGACGCUGAGUGUGCGAAAGCGUGGGUAGCAAACGGGAUUAGAUACCCUGNUANUC